GACGAACGCUGGCGGCGUGCUUAACACAUGCAAGUCGAACGAAGUGGCGAACGGGUGAGUAACGCGUAAUCAACCUGCCCUUCAGAGGGGGACAACAGUUGGAAACGACUGCUAAUACCGCUUACUGAUGGACGGGUUUCCGUUUGAUUAGGUCGUUGGAUGGGUAACGGCCCACCAAGGCGAUGUUCAGUAGGCGGGCUGAAAGGGUGAACGGGCAAAUUGGGACGGAGACACGGCCCAGACUCCUGCGGGAGGCAGCAGUGGGGAAUCUUUCGCAAUGGACGAAAGUCUGAAGGAGCAACGCCGGAGGAGUGGUGGCGGCCUUCGGGUUGUGAAGCUCUGUUAAGCGGGACGCGGUACCAGAAUAGAAAGCCACGGCUAACUACGUGCCAGCCGCCGCGGUAAUAC
Molecule: ribosomal RNA, 408 nt
Filed under: uncultured bacterium
Lineage: Bacteria
Description: partial 16S ribosomal RNA
Rfam family: Bacterial small subunit ribosomal RNA
Source: RNAcentral